RNAcentral lists this ribosomal RNA (253 nucleotides) under uncultured bacterium. Its description in RNAcentral is "partial 16S ribosomal RNA". It matches the Rfam family "Bacterial small subunit ribosomal RNA", at positions 524 to 776 of the family's 1533-position model. The record is from RNAcentral.
UACGUAGGGGGCUAGCGUUGUCCGGAUUUAUUGGGCGUAAAGAGCUCGUAGGCGGCUUGUUGCGUCGACCGUGAAAACCCGUGGCUUAACUGCGGGCUUGCGGUCGAUACGGGCGGGCUGGAGUUCGGUAGGGGAGACUGGAAUUCCUGGUGUAGCGGUGAAAUGCGCAGAUAUCAGGAGGAACACCGGUGGCGAAGGCGGGUCUCUGGGCCGAUACUGACGCUGAGGAGCGAAAGCGUGGGGAGCGAACAGG